ACAUCGAUAGCUCAGUGGCAGAGCGGUGGGGCGUUUACCCGAGUUUACCCACGCGGCCCGGGUUCGAUUCCCGGUUGAUGUA
Molecule: non-coding RNA, 82 nt
Organism: Phthorimaea operculella (potato tuberworm)
Lineage: Eukaryota; Metazoa; Arthropoda; Insecta; Lepidoptera; Gelechiidae
Source: the annotation of a GenBank genome assembly